AUUGAACGCUGGCGGCAGGCCUAACACAUGCAAGUCGAGCGGCAGCGGGAAAGUAGCUUGCUACUUUUGCCGGCGAGCGGCGGACGGGUGAGUAAUGCCUGGGAAAUUGCCCAGUCGAGGGGGAUAACAGUUGGAAACGACUGCUAAUACCGCAUACGCCCUACGGGGGAAAGCAGGGGACCUUCGGGCCUUGCGCGAUUGGAUAUGCCCAGGUGGGAUUAGCUAGUUGGUGAGGUAAUGGCUCACCAAGGCGACGAUCCCUAGCUGGUCUGAGAGGAUGAUCAGCCACACUGGAACUGAGACACGGUCCAGACUCCUACGGGAGGCAGCAGUGGGGAAUAUUGCACAAUGGGGGAAACCCUGAUGCAGCCAUGCCGCGUGUGUGAAGAAGGCCUUCGGGUUGUAAAGCACUUUCAGCGAGGAGGAAAGGUUGAUGCCUAAUACGUAUCAACUGUGACGUUACUCGCAGAAGAAGCACCGGCUAACUCCGUGCCAGCAGCCGCGGUAAUACGGAGGGUGCAGGCGUUAAUCGGAAUUACUGGGCGUAAAGCGCACGCAGGCGGUUGGAUAAGUUAGAUGUGAAAGCCCCGGGCUCAACCUGGGAAUUGCAUUUAAAACUGUCCAGCUAGAGUCUUGUAGAGGGGGGUAGAAUUCCAGGUGUAGCGGUGAAAUGCGUAGAGAUCUGGAGGAAUACCGGUGGCGAAGGCGGCCCCCUGGACAAAGACUGACGCUCAUGUGCGAAAGCGUGGGGAGCAAACAGG
RNAcentral lists this ribosomal RNA (761 nucleotides) under uncultured Aeromonadaceae bacterium. Its description in RNAcentral is "bacterial SSU rRNA". It matches the Rfam family "Bacterial small subunit ribosomal RNA", at positions 28 to 776 of the family's 1533-position model. The record is from RNAcentral. Lineage: Bacteria; Pseudomonadati; Pseudomonadota; Gammaproteobacteria; Aeromonadales; Aeromonadaceae.